This is an unclassified non-coding RNA of Callithrix jacchus (white-tufted-ear marmoset), 300 nucleotides long. It matches the Rfam family "Metazoan signal recognition particle RNA". From Rfam's summary of the family: The signal recognition particle (SRP) is a universally conserved ribonucleoprotein. It is involved in the co-translational targeting of proteins to membranes. The eukaryotic SRP consists of a 300-nucleotide 7S RNA and six proteins: SRPs 72, 68, 54, 19, 14, and 9. Lineage: Eukaryota; Metazoa; Chordata; Mammalia; Primates; Cebidae. The record is from Ensembl.
GCCGGGCAAGGUGGCGCAUGCCUGUAGUCCCAGCUAUUCGGGAGGCUGAGGCUGGAGGAUCUCUUGAGUCCAGGAGUUCUGGGCUGUAGUGCGCUAUGCUGAUCAAGUGUCCGCACUAAGUUUGGCAUUAAUAUGGUGACCUCAUGAGAGCGGGGGACCACCAGGUUGCCUAAGGAGGGAUGAACCGGACCAGGUAGGAAACGGAGCAGGUCAAAACUCCCAUGCUGAUCAGUAGUGGGAUUGCGCCUGUGAAUAGCCACUGCACUCCAGCCCGGGCAGCAUAGCGAGACCCUGUCUCUA